This 271-nucleotide ribosomal RNA is filed under the name uncultured bacterium. RNAcentral's name for it is "partial 16S ribosomal RNA". It matches the Rfam family "Bacterial small subunit ribosomal RNA", at positions 334 to 602 of the family's 1533-position model. The record is from RNAcentral.
UUUUCCUACGGGAGGCAGCAGUGAGGAAUAUUGGUCAAUGGGAGAGAUCCUGAACCAGCCAAGCCGCGUGAGGUAAGACGGCCCUAUGGGUUGUAAACCUCUUUUGUCGGAGAACAAAACCCGGGACGAGUCCCGGCCUGCGUGUAUCCGAAGAAAAAGCAUCGGCUAACUCCGUGCCAGCAGCCGCGGUAAUACGGAGGAUGCGCGCGUUAUCCGGUUUUAUUGGGUUUAAAGGGUGCGUAGGCGGUCCUUUAUGUCAGCGGUAAAAUUG